UUCAUGGCUGAGUGGUAAAGCGCUUGGCUUCCGAACGGGGGUCCCGGGUUUGAAUCCUGGUGAA
This is a non-coding RNA of Biomphalaria glabrata, 64 nucleotides long. The record is from Rfam. NCBI's taxonomy places the organism in Eukaryota, Metazoa, Mollusca, Gastropoda, Planorbidae.